GGGGAAACAAGUCCUGAAGAGGAAUAAAAACAGCUGGUUCUUUCAACCAUCAAAGGCAGAACUGGACGCUAUAUGGAAGAGGCUCCAAGGUGUCAACGUGCUUCCCGGCCAAGAGACCGCCUCUGGUGUGUGGUUGCUGGAGAUUGUAAGACAUCAGUCAGGUAGGGCAGCCUCGGGGGCCCUGCUGGGGCACAGCACGCGGUUCUUAAGCGCUCCCCAGACAGAGAAGGAAAUGGCGGAGAAAGAAGAGGAGACAGAGAAGCAGAAUCGUGCCAAAGAGAUGGAUUUGGUGGUCCAUUAUUUCGGUAAUGCUCAUUGAGGGCCCACAGUUCUUCUGGAGCGAGUUCCAAGCCCACCUCCUUUACGAAGUCUUCUCCCACUGCCUCUGCCCCCUGGAGCUCGCUCGCUCCCCUUCCUAGGAAUUCAGCCUCACUGCCUGCCCAGCGCCUUCGUUCCAGGCGCACCCAGCCUGCUGUCUGUUAGGAGCUUUGCGUGUGUGAGAACCCCAAACAGCCUGACGCAGCCUGGAGUCUCACUGCACAUAUACCGUGAGUGUGAAAGGUUUUCAUCCACACUCACGUGUGUGUCAGUGUGUGAUACCUGUGUGUAACAGAAUGCCCUGGAUGCUGACAGCUGGACGGAUGCAGGCCCACUCGACAUGACUGUACAGUGCAUCUAGUGGAGAGGACAAUCAGGGGCUAAAAUCCAGCCCGUAAUUUUCUGCCCAGCCACACGCCCUGGGAUGGCGUGCAUCUUCCCAGAAGCACUUUUUUCUAUUCUUCUCACCACACCAUGCACCCUGGCCAGGGCCAGUCCUACCCAGAACAGGUGCUUUUUUCUAAUUUUCACAAAGGCUGCAAGUAAACAGAAGCAAGGCACCCUGGUUACGACACACCUGUCUCUCAGCUCCAGAUCCACCCUCUUAUUCCGGACAUCACGAUGCAGCGGAAGGAACUCUGCAAACCACGUUCCCCCUUCGCCGCUGGGCUCCCUCUCAUUGUCGGGGGGAGGACAAUGGGAGGUGGGAGGACUGGGGACUCGAUCAAUCACAUUUGCUUCCUAUUCCCAGCAGCAUCACCCCCAGCAUCCAUUUUCACCGGCAGCCACAGCUGAUUCACUUCACCCCCUGUGUGUCACACUCUGGGAACCAGCCACAGCAUGUCCCCCUCAGAGACAUCAGCACCAGUCAGCCAGCGAGCCUCCUCCGAGCUUGAAGUCUCAGCUCCGCAGAGUUUCUUCUCCAGGCCCCUGGGUUCUAACAACCCCAAUCUCUUUCUUUGUUCCCUCCCCAAGGGCGGUAGCUGCUUUUAUGUAGUUACUAUCUCUGUGUGUCCUCAAUGACUCCUUUCUGCCUUCCCAGCCCUCCAACCCUUUUGAAUCAAUUCUCUAUAUUAAAAUCUCUCUGUAAAAAUAACUGUGGGAGCUGUUUUCUGACUGACUGCCAUGGAUGGCAUAGGGAAAAGUAACCCCCAUCCCCUGUGAGCC
RNAcentral lists this long non-coding RNA (1485 nucleotides) under Equus caballus (horse). RNAcentral's name for it is "lncRNA (ENSECAG00000053620.1)". Lineage: Eukaryota; Metazoa; Chordata; Mammalia; Perissodactyla; Equidae. The record is from RNAcentral.